Molecule: ribosomal RNA, 500 nt
Filed under: uncultured bacterium
Lineage: Bacteria
Description: partial 16S ribosomal RNA
Rfam family: Bacterial small subunit ribosomal RNA
Source: RNAcentral
AUUGAACGCUGGCGGAAUGCUUUACACAUGCAAGUCGAACGGCAGCACGGACUUCGGUCUGGUGGCGAGUGGCGAACGGGUGAGUAAUGUAUCGGAACGUGCCCAGUCGUGGGGGAUAACGUAGUGAAAAUUACGCUAAUACCGCAUACGAUCUAUGAAUGAAAGCGGGGGAUCGCAAGACCUCGCGCGAUUGGAGGGGCCGAUAACAGAUUAGGUGGUUGGUGGGGUAAAGGCCCACCAAGCCAACGAUCUGGAGCUGGUCUGAGAGGACGACCAGCCACACUGGAACUGAGACACGGUCCAGACUCCUACGGGAGGCAGCAGUGGGGAAUUUCGGACAAUGGGCGAAAGCCUGAUCCAGCCAUUCCGCGUGCAGGAUGAAGGCCCUCGGGUUGUAAACUGCUUUUGUACAGAACGAAAAGGUUUCUACUAAUACUAGGAGCUCAUGACGGUACUGUAAGAAUAAGCACCGGCUAACUACGUGCCAGCCGCCGCAGUAA